AUGAACGCUAGCGGCAGGCUUAAUACAUGCAAGUUGUACGGGAUUUCGGGUAGCAAUACCUGGAUGAGAGUAGCGCACGGGUGCGUAACGCGUAUGCAACCUACCUUUAACCGGGACACAACCAUGAGAAAUUGUGGCUAAUAUCCCAUAACACUGCGAUGUGGCAUCACAAUGCAGUUAAAGCUCCGGCGGUUAUAGAUGGGCAUGCGUGACAUUAGCUAGUUGGUGAGGUAACGGCUCACCAAGGCUACGAUGUCUAGGGGUUCUGAGAGGAUUAUCCCCCACACUGGUACUGAGACACGGACCAGACUCCUACGGGAGGCAGCAGUAAGGAAUAUUGGGCAAUGGACGCAAGUCUGACCCAGCCAUGCCGCGUGAAGGAUGAAGGCCCUAUGGGUUGUAAACUUCUUUUAUACGGGAAAAAACCGCCGGUCGUGUAUCGGUGCUGAUGGUACCGUAAGAAUAAGCAUCGGCUAACUCCGUGCCAGCAGCCGCGGUAAUACGGAGGAUGCAAGCGUUAUCCGGAUUCAUUGGGUUUAAAGGGUGCGCAGGCGGAUUAAUAAGUCAGUGGUGAAAUCCUACGGCUCAACUGUAGAACUGCCAUUGAUACUGUUAGUCUUGAGUAUUGUUGAGGUAGGCGGAAUGUGUCAUGUAGCGGUGAAAUGCUUAGAUAUGACACAGAACACCAAUCGCGAAGGCAGCUUACCAAGCAAUAACUGACGCUCAUGCACGAAAGCGUGGGGAUCAAACAGGAUUAGAUACCCUGGUAGUCCACGCUGUAAACGAUGAACACUCGAUGUUGGCGAUACACAGUCAGCGUCUGAGCGAAAGUAUUAAGUGUUCCACCUGGGGAGUACGGUCGCAAGAUUG
Molecule: ribosomal RNA, 870 nt
Filed under: uncultured anaerobic bacterium
Lineage: Bacteria
Description: bacterial SSU rRNA
Rfam family: Bacterial small subunit ribosomal RNA
Source: RNAcentral